AUGAUCAGAGAUGCGAUUCAUACCUUAAGAUGCAAGUCCGGAAGCGAUGGGAUCAGUGGGGGGCUUUCUCCUAUACCGCCGCCGCCGUCGCCACCGACACUGCCGCCGCAGAUGUCACGCCUUAUUCUUCUUCCUGCCGCCGACCACGUCUUUUAUAGUGAAGGGGACCAGGAGGAGGACGAGAACGACGCCGACGACGGUGAAUUGGUUCCUCUCGCCGGGCUCGUCGGACAGAAGGAAGAGGACGAGAAGGAGGACUUGACCGAGCUACUAGAUCUAGACGUGGUUCUGGUCGAGAAGGAGGACUUGACCGAGCUACUAGAUCUAGACGUGGUUCUGGUCGUGGACGUGAUCGGUCAAGAAUCUCGUGAAAUUGAUUGGGAGAUGCACUACAAAUUGAUCAAAGGGACUUGCGCAGGCUUACAUUACCUCCACAAGGGCCGUGCAGAUUGUCCAAUUGUUCAUCUGAAUUUAAGCCCGUCAAAUGUAUUGCUUCACAAGAACUACGUACCAUGCAUCACAGGGUUCGAUUUUUCGAAGCUCAUUGGGGAAAAGAACACCAAAUCCCUGGUACUUAAGCUUAAUGGGCCCAAUGCUUACCUGCCACCAGAUUUCUUCCACUCCAAGGGUACUGACCUCAAAUAUCUAGCUACGGUGGAUAUAUACAGCUUGGGUCUUAUGAUUCUAGAGAUAGCAACACAACAAGAGAUCAAAGGCAACCACGGAGUGCUUAUUAAGAGUAUAGAGGAAAACUGGAGGGAAGAGUCACAAAUAAGAUGGUUGUAUACCUCACUAGAAGCUGACGAACUGCAGCAAGUAAAAAUGUGCAUUGAUAUUGGCCUACACUGCGUCCAGUCAAAGCCUGAAAAGAGACCUACCGCUAGGGACAUCAUGCUCUGGCUUGAUAAAGGGGUCAAUCCAGUCCCAGCCCCAAGAGCAGGUGGAGGAGUGUCAAGACCUACAGUCUCAGUUCCAAGUGCAGGUCCAGGAGGGGUGCCAAGACCUCCUGUCCCCACUAAUAUCACCCAUGCAGAUGACCGCAUCCAAGCAUCAAGAGGAUUCAAACAAUCCAAAUGUCUUCAUCUACUUCUGUUCAUCCAAAUCGACCGGUAA
This 1113-nucleotide ribosomal RNA is filed under the name Triticum aestivum (bread wheat). RNAcentral describes it as "partial small subunit ribosomal RNA". Lineage: Eukaryota; Viridiplantae; Streptophyta; Magnoliopsida; Poales; Poaceae. The record is from RNAcentral.